AAGUGAAGAGGGACAAGCUCAAAUUUUAAAUCUAUCGGGUUUUACCCGAUCGAGUUGUAAUUUGAAGAAGCGUUUUCUGCGUUUUUGGUCAGCCCAAGUCCUAUUGAAUGAGGCAUCAUGGAGGGUGAUAAUCCCGUCCGGUUGAUCGUUUGCGUUUUACGAUACGCUUUCUAAGAGUCAAGUUGUUUGGGAUUGCAGCUUAAAAUGGGAGGUAAAUUUCUCCUAAGGCUAAAUAUUGGCGAGAGACCGAUAGCGAACAAGUACCGUGAGGGAAAGAUGAAAAGAACUUUGAAAAGAGAGUUAAACAGUACGUGAAAUUGUUGAAAGGGAAACGACUGAAGCCAGUCGUACCGGCGGGUAAUCAGCCUUUCGGGUAUGAUUCUGUGGAGCGUGAGGAGUUAAACGCCUUCAUGCCUGCAUAUUCGUGCUCUUGGGUGUACUUGCUCGUGUGGUUGGUUAACAUCAAUUUCGGUUAUCAUAAAAUGGCUGGAGGAAUGUAGCUUCGAUCUCGUAUUGAAGUGUUAUAGCCUUCGGCAGAUGUGAUGAUUGGGAUUGAGGAUUGCAACGGAUACCCCUCGGGGCUACCUGUCUGGUCUCUGAUCGUUGCUUUGGUGCCGAAAGCGUGCUUACGGUUAUCAAAGUCGAUGGUCAAUAGGUUAGAACGGGCUAAAUUCGUUA
This 678-nucleotide ribosomal RNA is filed under the name uncultured Glomeromycotina. RNAcentral describes it as "eukaryotic LSU rRNA". It matches the Rfam family "Eukaryotic large subunit ribosomal RNA", at positions 91 to 614 of the family's 3401-position model. The record is from RNAcentral. Lineage: Eukaryota; Fungi; Glomeromycota.